CCCACCCCUUAUACCUCUACAAAUUUAAUAAUGAAAUAUUAUUAAUGAACCGACCGUCCCUAGAGCAAGUGGCAAAGGGUUUGGUGGUUGAUACCCGAGACUCAAGUUCGAAUCCUAAUUGAUUCAUAUUUCUAGCUAAGUUUAUUUCUAAAUAAAAUAAACGAAGCGGGUAGCGUGCUACCAAUCUCUCAAAAAAAAAAAAAGUUUAUUUACUAAUUAACAAAGAUAAAUAAUUAAUUAGCUAAUUAAAUUAUUAAUUAUCUAGUAUGUUUCUACAAUAUCUAAUAUUUAUGUGGAUUAAUUAACUAAUUAUUAUUUUGAAUAAUAUAAUUAUUUUAACUAAUUGAUUUAUUAAUUUAUUAAUUUAUUAAAUUACUUGUGGUUAAUUAAAUUAUUAAUUAACAAUACUCAUUGUUAAUUAUUUUAUUAAUUAAUAUUUAGGGUUAUCUAACAGUAUUCGUGUUUAAUUAGUUAAUUAAAUAAGUUAAAUUAUUAUUUAAUUAAUAUUUUUAUGUUAAUUAAUUAUAAGAGUAAUUAUAAUUUUAAAAUAAUAAUAUUUUAUUAAUUAAUAUUUAGGGUUAUCUAACAGUAUUCGUGUUUAAUUAGUUAAUUAAAUAAGUUAAAUUAUUAUUUAAUUAAUAUUUUUAUGUUAAUUAAUUAGAUAAAAUAUUAUUAUUUUAAAAUUAUAAUUACUCUUAUUCUCAUUAUUCCAAUCUAACUUCCAAAUACCAUUUUCUCUUCCAAGGAACAACCCAAUUUUCUUCUUCUUUUUUUUUUUUUUUUUUUGAGAGAGAUAGGUAGCACGCUACCCGCUUCGUUUAUUUCAUUUUGAAAUAAAAUUAGCUGAAAAUGUGAAUCAACUAGGAUUCGAAUUUGGGUCUCGGGUACCAACCAUCAAGCCCUUUGCCACUUGCUUUAGGGACGGUCGGUGGAACAACCCAAUUUUCGUCCAAAUACAAAUUUGAUCUUGUUUGUGCUUAUCUCAAGAAUUGUACCUAUACCAACAAUAAGCAAAA
This 1016-nucleotide long non-coding RNA is filed under the name Ananas comosus (pineapple). RNAcentral describes it as "long non-coding RNA (ACOM_LNC025956)". Lineage: Eukaryota; Viridiplantae; Streptophyta; Magnoliopsida; Poales; Bromeliaceae. The record is from RNAcentral.